RNAcentral lists this ribosomal RNA (495 nucleotides) under uncultured bacterium. Its description in RNAcentral is "partial 16S ribosomal RNA". It matches the Rfam family "Bacterial small subunit ribosomal RNA", at positions 28 to 507 of the family's 1533-position model. The record is from RNAcentral.
GACGAACGCUGGCGGCGUGCCUAAUACAUGCAAGUCGAACGCUGAAGGAGGAGCUUGCUUCUCUGGAUGAGUUGCGAACGGGUGAGUAACGCGUAGGUAACCUGCCUGGUAGCGGGGGAUAACUAUUGGAAACGAUAGCUAAUACCGCAUAAGAGUAGAUGUUGCAUGACAUUUGCUUAAAAGGUGCAAUUGCAUCACUACCAGAUGGACCUGCGUUGUAUUAGCUAGUUGGUGGGGUAACGGCUCACCAAGGCGACGAUACAUAGCCGACCUGAGAGGGUGAUCGGCCACACUGGGACUGAGACACGGCCCAGACUCCUACGGGAGGCAGCAGUAGGGAAUCUUCGGCAAUGUACGGAAGUCUGACCGAGCAACGCCGCGUGAGUGAAGAAGGUUUUCGGAUCGUAAAGCUCUGUUGUAAGAGAAGAACGAGUGUGAGAGUGGAAAGUUCACACUGUGACGGUAUCUUACCAGAAAGGGACGGCUAACUACGUG